Molecule: transfer RNA, 67 nt
Filed under: Dasypus kappleri (great long-nosed armadillo)
Lineage: Eukaryota; Metazoa; Chordata; Mammalia; Cingulata; Dasypodidae
Description: tRNA-Trp
Source: RNAcentral
AGGGAUUUAGGUUAAACAAGACCAAGAGCCUUCAAAGCCCUCAGCAAGUAAAGUUACUUAAUCCCUG